Molecule: ribosomal RNA, 318 nt
Filed under: uncultured Prevotella sp.
Lineage: Bacteria; Pseudomonadati; Bacteroidota; Bacteroidia; Bacteroidales; Prevotellaceae
Description: bacterial SSU rRNA
Rfam family: Bacterial small subunit ribosomal RNA
Source: RNAcentral
GAUGAACGCUAGCUACAGGCUUAACACAUGCAAGUCGUGGGGCAGCAUGAAGGAAGCUUGCUUCCUUUGAUGGCGACCGGCGCACGGGUGAGUAACGCGUAUCCAACCUGCCAUAUACUCGGGUAUAGCCCGGUGAAAACCGAAUUAACCCCCGAUAGUGUCCUUUGCAGGCAUCUAAUUAGGACUAAAGUUCACGGUAUAUGAUGGGGAUGCGUCUGAUUAGCUUGUUGGCGGGGUAACGGCCCACCAAGGCGACGAUCAGUAGGGGUUCUGAGAGGAAGGUCCCCCACAUUGGUACUGAGACACGGACCAAACUCC